AGCGGGGUGGGGUAGCCAGGAAAUCCCGACGGGCUCAUAACCCGUAGGUCGGUGGUUCAAAUCCACCCCCCGCUA
This 75-nucleotide transfer RNA is filed under the name Thermoplasmata archaeon. Its description in RNAcentral is "tRNA-Met". It matches the Rfam family "tRNA". From Rfam's summary of the family: Transfer RNA (tRNA) molecules are approximately 80 nucleotides in length. The record is from RNAcentral. Lineage: Archaea; Methanobacteriati; Thermoplasmatota; Thermoplasmata.